CCCACGGGUGGCAGCAGUGAGGAAUAUUGGUCAAUGGCCGGAAGGCUGAACCAGCCAAGUCGCGUGAGGGAAUACGGCCCUAUGGGUCGUAAACCUCUUUUGUCAGGGAGCAAAGGCGUCCACGAGUGGACGAAAGGAGAGUACCUUAAGAAAAAGCAUGGGCUAACUCCGUGCCAGCAGCCGCGGUAAUACGGAGGAUGCGAGCGUUAUCCGGAUUUAUUGGGUUUAAAGGGUGCGUAGGUGGCGUGUCAAGUCAGCGGUAAAAUUUCGGGGCUCAACCCCGUCGUGCAGUUGAAACUGACACCCUUGAGUGAGUGAGAAGUAAGCGGAAUGCGUGGUGUAGCGGUGAAAUGCAUAGAUAUCACGAAGAACGCCGAUUGCGAAGGCAGCUUACCGGCGCUCAACUGACGCUGAGGCACGAAAGUGUGGGUAUCGAACAGGAUUAGAUACCCCAGUAGUC
RNAcentral lists this ribosomal RNA (460 nucleotides) under uncultured bacterium. RNAcentral describes it as "partial 16S ribosomal RNA". It matches the Rfam family "Bacterial small subunit ribosomal RNA", at positions 338 to 795 of the family's 1533-position model. The record is from RNAcentral.